GAUGGUAUCUGAGCUCAGCGGCUUCCUUGCAGAUGUUUCAUGACCCAACUAGGGAACAUCGUCAGUGUCAGAAGGGAGUGGGGUAUAUGGAAGAGGAGGAG
This is a non-coding RNA of Pseudonaja textilis, 101 nucleotides long. The record is from RefSeq and is a predicted model, not a curated record. NCBI's taxonomy places the organism in Eukaryota, Metazoa, Chordata, Lepidosauria, Squamata, Elapidae.